AGAAUCAACGCUGGCGGCGUGCCUAACACAUGCAAGUCGAACGCGGUUACCCCGCAAGGGGUGACUGAGUGGCAAACGGGUGAGUAACGCGUGGGUGACCUACCUUCGAGUGGGGGAUAACGUCUCGAAAGGAACGCUAAUACCGCAUGACAUCCUGCCUUUGGACAGGCGGAGAUCAAAGCCGGGGAUCGCAAGACCUGGCGCUUAAAGAGGGGCCCGCGUCCGAUUAGCUAGUUGGUGGGGUAACGGCUCACCAAGGCGACGAUCGGUAGCCGG
RNAcentral lists this ribosomal RNA (276 nucleotides) under uncultured bacterium. Its description in RNAcentral is "partial small subunit ribosomal RNA". It matches the Rfam family "Bacterial small subunit ribosomal RNA", at positions 26 to 290 of the family's 1533-position model. The record is from RNAcentral.